UUUGUUUUAGUUUGAGUUUUCUUUGUAUUAUUUUGUUUUUGAAAAAUUUUGAUGUACUUUUGGGUGGCUCUAGUUCACAAAAAAAACUUUGGUUUGAUUAGUUGUUUUGAUUAUUGCAUGAAUACUUUUUGAGAUUUAAGUGUGUUACAAUCAAAUUGGUUUACCAACAUUUUUUUGUUUAAUUGUUCUUAAUCUUAAGUCAAGCUUAAAGCAACCAAGAAAUGUUCGCAAGGAAAGAAGCAUAGGGCACUUCGAGUGGUGAUG
Molecule: long non-coding RNA, 264 nt
Filed under: Lathyrus oleraceus (garden pea)
Lineage: Eukaryota; Viridiplantae; Streptophyta; Magnoliopsida; Fabales; Fabaceae
Description: Pisum sativum (pea) long non-coding RNA (PSAT_LNC009241)
Source: RNAcentral